Molecule: long non-coding RNA, 949 nt
Filed under: Theobroma cacao (cacao)
Lineage: Eukaryota; Viridiplantae; Streptophyta; Magnoliopsida; Malvales; Malvaceae
Description: long non-coding RNA (TCAC_LNC004354)
Source: RNAcentral
CAAAAUCAAGCAAACCAAAUUACAAAUCAUUCCAUAGCAAACCUUUUAGUUGCCAGUUUCACUAGACAACUUAAAAGAUGGUGGCACAAUUAUCUUACCACAGAACAACAACAAGAAAUAUUAAAAGAUAUAAAAAAAAAGAUGAUGAAGGAAACAACAUCUUAGAUGAACAAGGAAGAGAAAUCCAAGAUGCUAUUGCAACCUUCAUCUUCUCAAUCUCAAAAUAUUGUAAUAAAUUUAACACAGGAUACCCUGGUCAAACUCAUAAAUAUCCUGAUCAAACCUUUUCCUAGAAGGCUCUGGUAUCAGAUGCGAAAAAACUGGUCGCAUUUCAAAAUUCUGCAAAAUUAGAAGGAAAACCAACGAACUUCACUUAGAUGAAAACAUUGAACAAAAAAUUAAUGAAAUCCUACUAGAAUUAACAACAUCGGACUAUGAGACAUCCGACAGCAAGGAAUCUACAAGUGAAUUCCAAAUAGAUGAAAUACAAACUACAUCUCAAUCUUCAACAGAUAAUAAAGAACAAAUUAAUGUCCAAACCAAAGAUCAAGAACUCAUGAUUGAAAUCAUUGAUAAAAUCCAAGACCCAACGCUACAAAAAGAAUACCUUGAGAAAUUAAAAACUUCGAUGAAAGAAAAAACAGAAAAACCCAUAAUUACAAAUCAAGAACACAUGUAUAAUAUAAAAGAUAUCAUAUUUGAUAGAUAUAAAUCCUCUAAACCUAGACAAAUAACAAAUGCAGAAUUACAGUCAGAAAUUAAAGAAAUAUAAGUGGAAAUCUCCAAACUCAAAAAUGAACAAAGAGAAAUAAAAAACCAAAUAGAAUUCUUACAAAGUUGUUGUUUUGUGGUAAGAUAAUUAUCCCACCAUCUUUUAAGUUGUCCAUUGAAACCGGCAACUAAAAGGUUUGCUAUGGAAUGAUCUGUAAUUUGGCUUGCUUGAUUUUGU